Molecule: RNA transcript, 3409 nt
Organism: Megalobrama amblycephala (Wuchang bream)
Lineage: Eukaryota; Metazoa; Chordata; Actinopteri; Cypriniformes; Xenocyprididae
Gene name: gastrula zinc finger protein XlCGF8.2DB-like
Exons: 6
Source: RefSeq, a predicted model, not a curated record
UGAAAUUUGGAGACCAUGUAUUUAAAUGGCUACCCUCAUACACUGUCCAUAAAAGAUGGAUAGAAACAUUCUCUAAACAGAAGUUGGUAAUAACCUCAGGUCUUUAUUUCAAAUCCACUGUGCUUGUGUACAGAGCAAAAACAAUAAAAUAUGUGUUGGCCCCAAUACUUACAGAGCGCACUGUAGAUGUGUUAACUGGUUCCCGGAUUUGAAUUUCUGUGUCACGUCACUCUAGCAAAAGGAAAAGCUUUGUUUCCCCUUGUUUUUGUUUUGUAAGACUGUUAUUCAGUCUCAAUAAAGUGCCUAAUCUGUUUUGUAAUUUCAUAUCCUCAAACGAUAAUUGUUUUUUUAUUACAGGUAUGGUCAGAAAUUGACCAUGCAUCUCCUUCAACCAGCGAAUGUGUAACACCACUGGAAAGAACAGAGAGUGUAUUUGUUGCCUUCCAAAACCACAUGGACACAGAUUCCAGCUCUGCAGAAGAUGGGAAUGUGCCCCACUCCAAUCCCAAGUUUAAAAAACAAAUGCUUGGAUAUGAUUCUGAAGACUCACUAAGCAGCAUGGAAAUAACAGAGGAUGAAUAUGUGCCAGGGUCAGAUUGUGAAAGUGAGACCAGCUCAGAGGGAGGCAGUAUAUUAAAGAAAAAUGUUGCCACCAUGGCCAGUCCUGCUGUUAAAGAUGGAACAAGAAAAACAUACAAGGGACCUAGAAACCGGAACUCUGAAUCUGACACAUCUGGGGAAAGCUCCAUAACUUCACUUACAGUCAUGCACAGUCAAAAGACUGACGAUGGAUCUAGAAGAUACACCAAAAAACAUUACUGUCUCUUUUGUGAGAAACCACAAUCCAAAAUCGCCAGGCAUCUGGAACUUGUUCAUAAAGAUCAAUCUGAAGUCGCUAAGGCCAUUUCAUCUCCAAAGAACUCCAAGGAAAGAAAGCUCCAACUGACUAUACUAAGGAAACAGGGGGACAGAGCACACAAUGUAGAUGUCAUUAGACAGGGUAAAGGUGUCAUUGUUCCAUGUAAACAAGCGAGUUCUCCAAAUGUCAAUCCAAAUAAAUUCUUACAUUGUGCAAAUUGCCAAGGACUUUUCAAAAAAAGAUUUCUUUGGAAACAUAUGAAAAGGUGCCCACUUCGAGGUGUUCUUCCAAAACCUGGUAGAACUCGAGCCCAAUCGAUUUGCGCCUUUGCGCAACCUGUGCAGGAAGGAGUUAGCAAGGGACUGUGGAAACUUCUCAGUGAUAUGAAACAAGGUGAAGUGGUAGAUGUCAUAAAGAGUGACUAUUGUAUUCUCAAGUAUGGAGAGCAGAAAUACAACAUGAUGGGACACCGGCGUUCUGAUCAUGAACUGAUCCGUCAGAAAAUGCGUGAGUUAGGGAGACUGGUUUUGAAAGGAAGGCAGGUGUCCCCUCUCAAAUCACUUGAGGAAUACAUUGAUCCAGCCAACUUCCAACACACAGUUAAUGCAGUUAAAGCUGUUACAGGCUUUCAGUGUGAGACAAAUAAGAUAGUGGUGCCAACGCUAGCCAAGAAACUUGGUCAGAGCCUCAUGAAGGUUGCCGACAUUGUAAGUUGUGAUGCAAGGAUCUGCGGUGACACAACAAAAGUUCAAAAAGCAGAGGACUUCAAACACAUCUAUCAGACACGCUGGAGGGAGAUGAUCUCAUGUCAUGCUCACAGUACCCUGGAAGAAAAAAGGUACAACGCUCCACUGAUCUUGCCAUUUGCAGAUGAUGUCAAGAAACUCCAUAUAUAUUUAAAGGAGAAACAGCAAGAAUACUACAGCACACUUUUUAAUGCACCAAACACCAAGACCUGGGCAAAACUGGCUAAAGUCACUCUUGCACAAAUGAUCAUCUUCAACAGAAAAAGGCAAGGGGAAGCCUGUCUGAUGCCAGUACAAUCAUUUGAGUCUCGAGACAACUCUACUUUAAAUAUUGAUAUUGCUGACUCUCUCUCAGAAGUUGAACAAGCACUAUGCAAGUACUUUAGUCGUGUAGAAAUCCGUGGAAAGCGCGGAAGGAAAAUUGCAGUACUUUUGGCACCAGAAAUGAUCAAAUCCAUGGAGUUGCUGGUUAAAAUGUGUGAAGUUUGCGGUGUUCCGAAGGAGAACAUCUACAUGUUUGCAAUCCCAGGCUGCGAGACAUCAUUUCGUGGAUCAGACUGCCUGCGCUGCUUUGCCAUGGAGUGUGGUGCUAAAUGUCCAAAAGCACUAUCGUCCACCAAGUUGCGCAAACACAUCUCUACAAUGUCCAGAGUUCUUAACCUGAACGACACCGAAAUGGACCAACUUGCUGAUUUCCUGGGACAUGAUAUUCGUAUCCACAGGAAAUAUUACAGAUUACCAGAGGGAACACUCCAGCUGGCAAAAAUCACCAAAGUCUUGAUGGCAAUGGAGCAGGGAAGGCUUAACGAAUUCAGAGGGAAAGGUCUUGACCAGAUCAACAUCAAUCCAACAGGUAUGUAACCUGUUAAUCGAGUUUAAACUACCUGUCAAGCGUGUCCUAGUGACUUUGGAAGAAUCUGUGCAUAUCUCUGAAUACUAGGACUAUAUUUCAGAGUGCGCUGAGCCUGAUGCUGGGAUGGAGAGUGAAACAGAACGGUCAGAUCAUUCUCAUGAUGUGACAUCAAGUGAGCCAGGCACUUCAGGAGUGAACAGCAGCAGGCCAGUAAACACGAAUGAAGGAUCUCCAGAGAGGACACGGGAGGUCAUGAAAGUAACAUCAGUUCCUAGGAAGAGAAAGUGGAGUGAGGUGGAGAUUGCGGCUGUAGAAGACAAAAUGAUGAAAUUUAUUCACUCGGGAGUUACUCCUGGAAAAGUCGACUGCAUUGCAUGCAUUACAGCAGCCCCCAAAGCCCUCAGUGAACGAGACUGGCAGUCGGUAAAGUAUUAUGUAAAAAACAGAAUCACAGCAUAUGAGAGAAAGACCACUAAAAAGUAAGGUUGAUUUUGGUUGUUUCUGUUUUUGCAUUUUAGUUGAAUUAUAUUAUCUGUUUUUUUUUUGUCUCAAUACCAUGGUUGGAAACAUUAUAAUUUAAUUUAAGUUUUGAAAGAGUUAAAACGGCUCGAUGUUGGUUGUAAAUUUGGUGCUUGGACUUCCUUGUUUUUAAGUCUGCAGGCAAAAUGCUGUGUCAGGUGAUAAGGAGUUGGUGUAAAUGUUUUUUCUAAUUGCGUAGAUUAGUUUUACUGUACAGUAGCCAUACGACAGAGUGCCUAUAGUUUUCAAUGCCUUUAUUCAGGCCCCUUUACGUUUCACAUUUUUGAUUGUGUUGUGGAUUUAAUUUUAAAUUGAUUAAUUUAUUUUCUGAUGGCACAUUAGACGAAACACAUCAUAAAAAAAAUAUGUUGUAAUAUCUGGUGGCAAGCACGGAACCCAUACUGUACUGAUUAAAUUUGGCUGUAGAUUCAA